GCCAUAUCUAGGUUUGAUUUUGUUAUAAACCUUCGGUUUUCAAUAGAACACGAACAUCAAUACAGUGACAUUUUAAAUAUAGUAUAAUUUAAAAGUUUUCUUUAAAAAAUUUUUUUAUAGUGAAAGAUUAUACAACUCAAAAUGCUGUUAAUAUUUUUUCGCAAUUAUGAUUACUACAACGUUUUUCCGUAUUGGUUGCAUUCUAAUAUUUAUGAUUUGAAUUAUGUAAUUUCAUUUUUAACUCGUGUGGAUCCGACGGACGAUGUAUAUAGGCUUAGCCUUCCGCGGUCGUGUAGUAAACGCGUAGGUAAGAACGUCAAAGUGAGAACGUCUCGACACAACAAGGAGAAAACACUACGUUUCAUAUAAACCUGGGAUCUUUAUUGAGAGAGAUAUAUAUCAUUACAAACACAUUGGAGGAUAAAUACCUG
This 431-nucleotide long non-coding RNA is filed under the name Androctonus crassicauda. Lineage: Eukaryota; Metazoa; Arthropoda; Arachnida; Scorpiones; Buthidae. The record is from RNAcentral.